GAUGAACGCUGGCGGCGUGCUUAACACAUGCAAGUCGAACGGAAAGGCCCAAGCUUGCUUGGGUCCUCGAGUGGCGAACGGGUGAGUAACACGUGGGUGAUCUGCCCUGCACUUCGGGAUAAGCCUGGGAAACUGGGUCUAAUACCGGAUAGGACGAUGGUUUGGAUGCCAUUGUGGAAAGUUUUUUCGGUGUGGGAUGAGCUCGCGGCCUAUCAGCUUGUUGGUGGGGUAAUGGCCUACCAAGGCGUCGACGGGUAGCCGGCCUGAGAGGGUGUACGGCCACAUUGGGACUGAGAUACGGCCCAGACUCCUACGGGAGGCAGCAGUGGGGAAUAUUGCACAAUGGGCGCAAGCCUGAUGCAGCGACGCCGCGUGGGGGAUGACGGCCUUCGGGUUGGAAACUCCUUUCGCUAGGGACGAAGCGUUUUGUGACGGUACCUGGAGAAGAAGCACCGGCUAACUACGUG
This 467-nucleotide ribosomal RNA is filed under the name uncultured bacterium. RNAcentral's name for it is "partial 16S ribosomal RNA". It matches the Rfam family "Bacterial small subunit ribosomal RNA", at positions 28 to 507 of the family's 1533-position model. The record is from RNAcentral.